CUCUUUGGGCCCCCUCCUCCUGCUCCCCCUCCCCUCCCUGCAGGCCCUGAAUUCCCCUGGCUCUCCUUGUCUCCAUCCCCACCCUGGGCCUUGCAGGAACAGGGAUCCCGGGGCAAACUGGAUGGAGUGGGGUUGGGGGGAGCAGAAGGGAUUUUCCCCUUCAGACUGGGGCAACCAUGGGCUGGGGGGGCUGGGGACACCCGUGUCCCUCCCCCAGCCCCACAGGGGCCAAUCCUGCUUAAACCUUUGCUCUCCUUCCCCAGCCAAUCUCGGGACAAGGAGGAGGUGGAUGUGUUGGGGGAGGCAUGGAUGUCCAUCGAGUGAAGAGGUCUGAGCCCCCCGUGGCUG
This is a long non-coding RNA of Neopelma chrysocephalum (saffron-crested tyrant-manakin), 348 nucleotides long. RefSeq lists it as uncharacterized. The record is from RefSeq and is a predicted model, not a curated record. Lineage: Eukaryota; Metazoa; Chordata; Aves; Passeriformes; Pipridae. The transcript is spliced from 3 exons.